This 1043-nucleotide long non-coding RNA is filed under the name Chloebia gouldiae (Gouldian finch). Its description in RNAcentral is "Erythrura gouldiae (Gouldian finch) lncRNA (ENSEGOG00005016815.1)". Lineage: Eukaryota; Metazoa; Chordata; Aves; Passeriformes; Passeridae. The record is from RNAcentral.
GUGCCCUGCCCUCAUGCCAAUCCUGCCCGGAGCUCCGUUCCCCGGUUACCGCAGCCCCAGCUCAAAGAAACUCUUUCGAUCUUAGAGGAACGCCGAAGUUCAGAGCCUGCUCCCUUCCCGGGCGGGUGUGUCCCGGCACCUCCGACUUCGCAGUUCGCUGAAUAAACCCUCUGGGAAACAAAGUAGCCUGAAGCGUCAAUCCCGUCUCGGUAGGAACCUCGUUAUUGCUGUCCGGCUCCGGCAGACCGCGACCCCCGGGGCGGCUCCGGCGGGACGCAGGUCCCGGACGCCGCAAGGGAGAGGGUGAUUGGCAGACUCACCUCUCCAGGAUGUAGGACUAAUGUUAGAAAGUGGACUGAUAUUGAAAUGUGGAUGUUGAAAUGUGAAUAGAGAAAAAGAGAAAGGGAGAGAGAGAGAGAAAAGGAGUGGAGAAGGACAGUCAGAUGCAAGGCUGUGAAAAGAGGGAGAGCGGGACCACCAAUAGAGAUAAGGUCAAAGCAGAGCUAGCUGACUCUCACAAAGUGGUUUAUUAACAAGACUUCUUUUUCCUUCUGAUUUUUGUUGUUAAGAAGAGGAGGCUUUUGUUCUGAAGACUGGUCUGUAAGACUAUAACAGUUAGAUAUUGCCAAAAAAAAAAAAAAAAACAAAAAGCAAGAGAUGUGAUACAUCUUGUGUUAAAUUUGGCCUAGUCUUUUUUUUAUUUUACUAAUUAUAGCUCACAGGAAGAAGAAUUGGCCUCUGCAGCUCUUAACACAGCUGGAUACAAGAAGAAGAAGCGGCUGUAGAAAAAGUUUUUAGUUAAACCCAGAAAGUUUUGAAGAAAACUAAUGGUAAAAGUUAAUGCAGUAUUGUUUUUUUUUUUGACACUGUGUUAUUAAGAAGUCCUUUCCAAGUGCUACUAAAAGCAGCAAUCCAAACCAUGGAAAAGAGGGUGUAUUCAUGACAACAAAGUAAAAGAAUUUGUGAAGAAACGUGAGGAAUGGACUAUCACAUCUAAACCAGGUGAUAAUAAAUUGACUUUCAACCAGGACUGGGUGGUAAUG